Long non-coding RNA from Scylla paramamosain (green mud crab), 650 nucleotides. RefSeq lists it as uncharacterized. Lineage: Eukaryota; Metazoa; Arthropoda; Malacostraca; Decapoda; Portunidae. The transcript is spliced from 3 exons. The record is from RefSeq and is a predicted model, not a curated record.
CCUCCUCCUCCUCGUAUCCUAUUUUAGUGUUCGUAUUACAUAUUUUGACACUUACAAAUCAACUGAAAUCAAUCCCUGUAAAAUUAUCUCGAAACUGCGUGAGAAUCAAGCAAUUACUGUGAUACUGAAUGAUAAAUUUGUAGUCUUUUGAACGGGAGUCAGUCAGUCAGGCGGUUGGUUAGUACCCUCCCGCCUCCCUCCCCCUACCUCUUCCCUCCCAACCGAUUCCUUCCUUCCUCUACUCUCCCUUCUUCCUUACUCCUCCUCCUACCACCCCCGCCAACCAGCAAGAACUCCUCUCUCCUCCCUGACCAAUCACAUCCCGCCGUAUUGGUGUUGUAGCCUAGUGGCCGCCACGUCGAGUUGUCUUGGUACGUUUCCUGCAUUUGUUGGUGAUAUUUGUGGCUCUUCGGAACCCCUUGGCCGUGCAGUGAUGAGGCGAGAUGAUACGUGAAACACCAAACGGAACAUCACCAGGCGCCACAGCACGCACCAGUGAGGUCUGAAGGGGUUACUGUGUCCUCGUGGGAGCAGCCAAGUCCCCCAAGUGUUGGAGGAGUUAAGGUGCGUUUGUUCAUCACUGAGGAAACACCACCACCACCACCACCACCACUAGAGGACACAUCACCAGUACCCGCGAUGGUGGUGAG